Oxyura jamaicensis (ruddy duck) is the source of this 2407-nucleotide long non-coding RNA. RefSeq lists it as uncharacterized. The transcript has 6 exons. The record is from RefSeq and is a predicted model, not a curated record. Lineage: Eukaryota; Metazoa; Chordata; Aves; Anseriformes; Anatidae.
CUUAAAAGAGUUGCCUGACUUUUAGAACACUUUAUUCAUGUAUAUUUCCUGUGUUUAUUGUUGCCUUAACUAAUUUUUUAAAUUAAAAUUACUUGAUCCAAGAUUUUAUUUAGCAACAAAUAUCAAAGUAACUUUUCUUUCAACAAACGAAGAGCUGUAUUUAGAUAUAAAAAAGCAUUUUUCUAUUUCUGAAUUUCUGAAAACAGAUUUUAGUUUCUUUCCAUCUCUAAGUGAUGUGUAUGACAGAAAAUUCCAGAAUUAGACAAAACUAAAUUUCUUUAUUUUUUUCAUGGCAUUUUGUAUUUUCAUUUUGUGUCUUAGUAUAUUUAUUUAUUUAUUUUUGUGUCUGUAAUGGUUGCUUUAAUUACCGUGGUGUUUCCAAAGGACAGUAUUGAAUAUUUAUCUGCCUGGACUGCCCUGAUGUUUACCUAACCACCUGGAAUUGAACAUCUACCAGCUAGAGAAAUGGAAAAAAGUCAUUGAGGGUAUUCCUAUGAAAAUAUAGUUCCAUUUUCCUACUGCAACCAUGCUUAAUCUCUCCGAGUUUUCCCCAAUCCCCUCUUAAAUCUGCCCUUUCAUUUGCUGUAGUUGCUCUAUAAACAUAUUUGUAGUAAUGACAAUAGCUACAACUUUUAGUCCUUAAUUCAAAACAGUAAAUAAAAACCAUUUCAGAGAGGGAAAAAAAAAAAAAAGGAACAUAGCACAGAGUCUCAGAGCAGAGAGAAAACACUUGUAUGGAAGAGGCUGAGCUAUGACCCUUAAGCUCACAGCAUUUUUAGGUUUUGCACCUGCCGUCAGGUGCUGAUGCCCAGCAGGUGGGGCAGGCUCUCCGGCCUGGUGCAAGAGGGCCCUCAGGCCUACCGCAGGCCUUAACAGCCCCACCUGGCCCCCAAUUUGUGGCACCAUUUAAGCUCCAGCUGAGGCCAUGUUCCCUUUUAGGCUGCCUUGUGGGGUUUUUCCCUUAAGUGCUCUUUCAGUUGCCUUGUUGUUUUGGCUCAUCCCUUGUCCCUGCAAUCCUCUGAGGCCUGCCCUGGUUGGCACAUGGGGCAGCAGGCUAGUGCCCAGCAGCUGUGAGGGGCAGUGCCUGCUGGUUUCCGUGGGGGGAGAGUGGUGCGUUCCCCCUGCCCUCAUCCACGCUGAAGACCUGGAGGAGAGAGCCAGCAGUUUGAAGUAUGUAGUAUUCAUGUCCUCCAGGGCAAUCUGAAAUAGCUGCUUCUUCUACCUUGAUUGGAAGGAGCUGACAGCAUGGAUGGACAGAAGAGGGCCAUAUUCAAGAAAGACCUAACCUUAUUCUAUGCUGUUUUGAUCUGAUGACUGCUGGAGACUCUGUAGGACUUGCCACUGCUCUGCUCAACCAGCUCCUGUGCUGUGGGACUGCGCUAUGUUGAAUGUGGACUUCAUCCCACAAUCUUACACUGAAGAAAAAAUGAGCUACAAAGAAUAAUGAUCCAUGAAUUCUAGAGAGGGACACAGGCUAGGUGCUUUGGCUGGACUUCUUUUCCUAUGGGGCAUGUGCAAUCAUACAACUGCUGUGAGUCAGCUUGGUGUGGUGGAAGCUUAUAGUGUGAGAUGUGCAAUGGUUACCAUGGCGUAGAGUGAGCGAAGGAGCAUAAGCACAAGGGAGCACAAGUCCCUUUACUGCAGGGUUAUCUCAGGAAAGUGAGGAGUGCAUCAACCUAGGCUAAUACUCUGAUAUUCUUCUGCUAUUCAUAUUUGCAAGUCUGAGACGAGAAAUAGUUAGAGGGGAGAUGGAUGUCAGAUGGGUACGUGUGUCCUUUAAUCUGUAUUCAGUGCCUGUAUCAAAGGCUCCAAUAUGUGCAUGUGUAGGCAACAAAUUUCACGUAGAUUUAUAUUUGGUUUAUAAAUCCACCAUUCAGAGUUGAGAAAUAAUCUAUGCAGUUUCAGAAGAAGGUAAGAUAAAGGUGCUUAUCAGAUUCCUAUUGGGAAUGGCAAUAAGUAGUUUAUAGCCAGUUUCAGUUAACAUAAGCUUUCCAUAAAUAAGAUACAUAACUUUUUACAUGUGUAGACUAAGGCCAAAGGCUCCCUUCACUCUUUGCGAGCACUGACAUUAAAUUUUUUAUUAGUACCCGUGAUGAAUAAUGCACUUGACUACAGUUUUGACUGUACCAUUGAGAGAAACUACCAUGUAUUUCUUGGAGAUGUUCAUAAACAGCCAAGUUUAAUGCUGAAAAAAGUUUUUUUUUUAAUUAAUUACUUCUUUUCCAAGUUUAAGUUUUUUUCACCACUGAUAUGUGCACCCUUUCUUGCAGCACUGGUAUCCCUGUUGCUGCCAUCAUAUUGUUUGUGUUCCUGUGGCUGGCUUUCAGGCUGUCAUUUCUUUAUGUCCUGAGGCUAUUGUGCUAGACUUUUACAAAAGAGUCCUGGAUGUAACCUUGCUGCUGUCACA